GACGAACGCUGGCGGCGUGCUUAACACAUGCAAGUCGAACGGACCUGUUUUUGAAGCGCUUCGGCGUGGAUGGGACGGGGCAGUGGCGCACGGGUGAGUAAUGCGCGAGGACCUGCCCGCAGGAGGGGGACAGCAGUUGGAAACGGCUGGUGAUACCCCGUAGGCCGGGAGGUGAAAGGGCGGAGACGCCCGCCUGCGGAUGGACUCGCGUCCUAUCAGCUAGUUGGUGAGGCAACGGCUCACCAAGGCGACGACGGGUAGCCGGCCUGAGAGGAUGGCCGGCCACACUGGAACUGAGACACGGCCCAGACUCCUACGGGAGGCAGCAGUUGGGAAUCUUCGGCAAUGGGCGCAAGCCUGACCGAGCAACGCCGCGUGAGUGAUGAAGGUUUUCGGAUUGUAAAGCUCUGUCUUCCGGGACGAUAAUGACGGUACCGGAGGAGGAAGCCACGGCUAACUACGUG
RNAcentral lists this ribosomal RNA (464 nucleotides) under uncultured bacterium. Its description in RNAcentral is "bacterial SSU rRNA". It matches the Rfam family "Bacterial small subunit ribosomal RNA", at positions 28 to 507 of the family's 1533-position model. The record is from RNAcentral.